This 163-nucleotide ribosomal RNA is filed under the name Phalaris aquatica (canary grass). Its description in RNAcentral is "5.8S ribosomal RNA". It matches the Rfam family "5.8S ribosomal RNA". Rfam says of the family: 5.8S ribosomal RNA (5.8S rRNA) is a component of the large subunit of the eukaryotic ribosome. The record is from RNAcentral. Lineage: Eukaryota; Viridiplantae; Streptophyta; Magnoliopsida; Poales; Poaceae. RNAcentral also lists the same sequence under 5 other names.
ACAUGACUCUCGGCAACGGAUAUCUCGGCUCUCGCAUCGAUGAAGAACGUAGCGAAAUGCGAUACCUGGUGUGAAUUGCAGAAUCCCGCGAACCAUCGAGUCUUUGAACGCAAGUUGCGCCCGAGGCCAUUCGGCCGAGGGCACGCCUGCCUGGGCGUCACGC